GAUGAACGCUGGCGGCGUGCCUAAUACAUGCAAGUCGAGCGAACAGACGGGGAGCUUGCUCCUCUGACGUUAGCGGCGGACGGGUGAGUAACACGUGGAUAACCUACCUAUAAGACUGGGAUAACUUCGGGAAACCGGAGCUAAUACCGGAUAAUAUAUUGAACCGCAUGGUUCAAUAGUGAAGGACGGUUUUGCUGUCACUUAUAGAUGGAUCCGCGCCGCAUUAGCUAGUUGGUAAGGUAACGGCUUACCAAGGCAACGAUGCGUAGCCGACCUGAGAGGGUGAUCGGCCACACUGGAACUGAGACACGGUCCAGACUCCUACGGGAGGCAGCAGUAGGGAAUCUUCCGCAAUGGGCGAAAGCCUGACGGAGCAACGCCGCGUGAGUGAUGAAGGUCUUCGGAUCGUAAAACUCUGUUAUUAGGGAAGAACAAAUGUGUAAGUAACUAUGCACGUCUUGACGGUACCUAAUCAGAAAGCCACGGCUAACUACGUG
RNAcentral lists this ribosomal RNA (497 nucleotides) under uncultured bacterium. RNAcentral describes it as "partial 16S ribosomal RNA". It matches the Rfam family "Bacterial small subunit ribosomal RNA", at positions 28 to 507 of the family's 1533-position model. The record is from RNAcentral.